Molecule: long non-coding RNA, 451 nt
Filed under: Hordeum vulgare
Lineage: Eukaryota; Viridiplantae; Streptophyta; Magnoliopsida; Poales; Poaceae
Description: long non-coding RNA (HVUL_LNC006183)
Source: RNAcentral
GCUACAAAGGAAUUAAGUACGGGUGAAUUGACACGCCAGAACAUCUAUUGUAAGAGGUGAAACAAUUUCAUUUGACUCGCCAAAUAAUUUGUCCGUGGGCUGAGGAAAAAUCUUGACCCGCCAAAUGAAGGCCCGAGUCAGGUUGCUAUGGCGACUUACGAAGUUUGGCUACUUAAAAGAGUUGUGUCUCAAGGCGUCAGAGGUAUUUAUCCAAAAAUGGUGAAGUAUGAAGACUACAAACAGUUUUCACAUAGCGAGCGGUAGAUUAUGGAUCUACUGGACAGCUGAAAAUAAAUACGGAAAAUGACCGAAUACGGCAACCUACAACCAAGAUGGGAUAAUACUGUUGUUUUGGUGAAAUACUACUCUAAGUGUGCAAAUCAAGGGCGGACAAAUAAAGGUAUUAGAGACAUUGGUUUUCUCAUCGUCAUUGAUGUCAACUAAUCAAGGA